AACGAACGCUGGCGGCAGGCUUAACACAUGCAAGUCGAACGAGAUCUUCGGAUCUAGUGGCAGACGGGUGAGGAACACGUGGGAACAUCCCUUUCAGUUCGGAAUAACGUUGGGAAACUAACGCUAAUACCGGAUACGUCCUUCGGGAGAAAGAUUUAUCGCUGAAAGAUUGGCCCGCGUCUGAUUGGCUAGUUGGUGAGGUAAUGGCUCACCAAGGAUACGAUCAGUAGCUGAUCUGAGAGGAUGAUCAGCCACAUUGGGACUGAGACACGGCCCAAACUCGUACGGGAGGUAGCAGUGGGGAAUAUUGGACAAUGGGCGCAAGCCUGAUCCAGCCAUGCCGCGUGAGUGAUGAAGGCCUUCGGGUUGUAAAGCUCUUUUAUCCGGGAAGAUAAUGACUGUACCGGAAGAAUAAGCCCCGGCAAACUUCGUGCCAGCCGCCGCGGUAA
RNAcentral lists this ribosomal RNA (449 nucleotides) under uncultured bacterium. Its description in RNAcentral is "partial 16S ribosomal RNA". It matches the Rfam family "Bacterial small subunit ribosomal RNA", at positions 29 to 523 of the family's 1533-position model. The record is from RNAcentral.